UCUACCUGAUCCGAGGUCAACCUUUGGAAAAUUGGGGGGUUUUACGGCAAGAGUCCCUCCGGAUCCCAGUGCGAGACGAAAUGUUACUACGCAAAGGAGGCUCCGGGAGGGUCCGCCACUACCUUUGAGGGCCUACGUCGACCGUAGAGCCCCAACACCAAGCAGAGCUUGAGGGUUGAAAUGACGCUCGAACAGGCAUGCCCGCCAGAAUGCUGGCGGGCGCAAUGUGCGUUCAAAGAUUCGAUGAUUCACUGAAUUCUGCAAUUCACAUUACUUAUCGCAUUUCGCUGCGUUCUUCAUCGAUGCCAGAACCAAGAGAUCCGUUGUUAAAAGUUUUGAUUAUUUUGCUUAUGCCACUCAGAAGAAACGUCGUUACAAUAGAGUUUGGUUAUCCUCCGGCGGGCGCCGGGUCCGGUCCCGCGGGGGGUCCGGUCCGGGCCGGGAGGCGUCCUUUUCAGGGGACGGCCUACCCGCCGAAGCAACAGUUGUAGGUAUGUUCACAAAGGGUUAUAGAGCGGUAACUCAGUAAUGAUCCCUCCGCAGGUUCACCUACGGAA
RNAcentral lists this ribosomal RNA (557 nucleotides) under fungal sp. SNB-GTC2605. RNAcentral describes it as "partial large subunit ribosomal RNA". The record is from RNAcentral. Lineage: Eukaryota; Fungi.